GUAUUUCACCUUUAUUUUUCUACAUAUGAAUAUACUUAGCACAAAGUGCAAUGGGCACUCUGUGCUAACCCACUAAUGUGGGCUUGAUCAUUAAAACGAAUGAGAUUUUCACUGACUUCAAUGAGCUUUGGAUGAGGUGUUGAGAGGAAGACCUGUGGUUUUAUACAAACUUAAUUGUUGUUCACUGUUGUUUUUGUAUAGAAGUGGAAAUAAUCAAAUCUAUUUUUCACAUUGCUUUCAGCAGGAUAAAUCUUAAUAGGUGUAACCAGAGCUGUUUUAACUGUUUUCUUUCCCUUCCAAAGAGAGGAAAAAGCUGCCUUGUAAUGGGGAAUAAUGAGUGAAUUCUAAGUGACUUUUCAGAGACUCACCUGCAAUCUGAAUUCUUCUGACAAGCAGUAAUUUUCAGAUCCAAGAGUCCAGAUACUACAGGACAGAUUUUGAUGCAUAGAUUUCUACCACAUAAAUAUACAAAAAGGGAAGAAGAGCCUUUUGAGUCUACGUCUGUUUAACAAGCUGUGUUUGCAUUUCAGAGUAGAUGGCCUUCUAUUGUGUCCAUGUUGCUGUCCCUAAAGAAUAACAUAAAAUUGAGUUGGUUGCAAGUCUACUUACCACCUCACUUUCAAGGACAAUAAGUUCUCUGAUGGCUCUUGCAUUAGAAACCCUUUUAUAAUUGCACUUCUGGAGUCAUGACUUCUCACCCUCUCUUUAGGACAACCAGAUUUAAAAAGCAUUGUUAUUUCUAUAAUUUAAAAAGUCACUACUGAUUUGGUUUGAGAGGACUUGCAUUUUGUCAAAUUGUUCUGUUACUCUUUAACUGCAAGUGCAACUCAUGAAAACCAAAAAUAAGCUGUUUAAGAACUGCAUAUUCCAAUCUCAAAAGGAUGCAUAAAUCAAGGUUGUAACUCUGAGCUGUAGAAGUUAGCCAGAAUCUUAAAAAAAAAAAAAAUUAGUAAAUUCAAAAUACUUGCAAAUUUACAUUUGUUUUACACUCUUCAAGAGCCUGCAAA
Non-coding RNA from Chrysemys picta bellii (western painted turtle), 1007 nucleotides. NCBI's taxonomy places the organism in Eukaryota, Metazoa, Chordata, Testudines, Emydidae. The record is from RefSeq and is a predicted model, not a curated record.